This 460-nucleotide ribosomal RNA is filed under the name uncultured bacterium. RNAcentral describes it as "partial 16S ribosomal RNA". It matches the Rfam family "Bacterial small subunit ribosomal RNA", at positions 338 to 795 of the family's 1533-position model. The record is from RNAcentral.
CUUACGGGAGGCAGCAGUGAGGAAUAUUGGUCAAUGGACGCAAGUCUGAACCAGCCAUGCCGCGUGCAGGAAGACGGCUCUAUGAGUGGUAAACUGCUUUUGCAGGAGGGAAAAAGCAGAUACGUGUACCUGUCUGAAAGGAUCGUACGCAUAAGGAAUGGGUAAAUCCGUGCCCGCAGCCGCGGUAAGUCGGAGGAUUCAAGCGGUAUCCGGAUUUAUUGGGUUUAAAGGGUGCGUAGGCGGUCGUGUAAGUUAGAGGUGAAAGUCCGGGGCUUAACUUCGGGUUUGCCUCUGAUACUGGUCGGCUAGAGGGUAGAUGCGGUAGGCGGAAUGUAUGGUGUAGCGGUGAAAUGCUUAGAGAUCAUACAGAACACCGAUUGCGAAGGCAGCUUACCAAGCUGCUUCUGACGUUGAGGCACGAAAGCGUGGGGAGCGAACAGGAUUAGAUACCCCUGUAGUC